ACUCCUACGGGAGGCAGCAGUAGGGAAUCUUCCACAAUGGGCGCAAGCCUGAUGGAGCAACACCGCGUGAGUGAAGAAGGGUUUCGGCUCGUAAAGCUCUGUUGUUAAAGAAGAACACGUAUGAGAGUAACUGUUCAUACGUUGACGGUAUUUAACCAGAAAGUCACGGCUAACUACGUGCCAGCAGCCGCGGUAAUACGUAGGUGGCAAGCGUUAUCCGGAUUUAUUGGGCGUAAAGAGAGUGCAGGCGGUUUUCUAAGUCUGAUGUGAAAGCCUUCGGCUUAACCGGAGAAGUGCAUCGGAAACUGGAUAACUUGAGUGCAGAAGAGGUAGUGGAACUCCAUGUGUAGCGGUGGAAUGCGUAGAUAUAUGGAAGAACACCAGUGGCGAAGGCGGCUACCUGGUCUGCAACUGACGCUGAGACUCGAAAGCAUGGGUAGCGAACAGGAUUA
RNAcentral lists this ribosomal RNA (452 nucleotides) under uncultured bacterium. RNAcentral's name for it is "bacterial SSU rRNA". It matches the Rfam family "Bacterial small subunit ribosomal RNA", at positions 335 to 780 of the family's 1533-position model. The record is from RNAcentral.